This 460-nucleotide ribosomal RNA is filed under the name uncultured bacterium. RNAcentral describes it as "partial 16S ribosomal RNA". It matches the Rfam family "Bacterial small subunit ribosomal RNA", at positions 338 to 795 of the family's 1533-position model. The record is from RNAcentral.
CCUACGGGCGGCAGCAGUGAGGAAUAUUGGUCAAUGGACGAGAGUCUGAACCAGCCAAGUAGCGUGAAGGAUGACUGCCCUAUGGGUUGUAAACUUCUUUUAUAUGGGAAUAAAACGUUCCACGUGUGGGAUUUUGUAUGUACCAUAUGAAUAAGGAUCGGCUAACUCCGUGCCAGCAGCCGCGGUAAUACGGAGGAUCCGAGCGUUAGCCGGAUUUAUUGGGUUUAAAGGGAGCGUAGGUGGAUUGUUAAGUCAGUUGUGAAAGUUUGCGGCUCAACCGUAAAAUUGCAGUUGAAACUGGCAGUCUUGAGUACAGUAGAGGUGGGCGGAAUUCGUGGUGUAGCGGUGAAAUGCUUAGAUAUCACGAAGAACUCCGAUUGCGAAGGCAGUUCACUGGACUGCAACUGACACUGAGACUCGAAAGUGUGGGUAUCAAACAGGAUUAGAUACCCGAGUAGUC